GUUUUAUAUUGAAAAAAAUAGUAACAAUUUUUGUUGAAACCAAUUUUGAUGUGUUUUGAAAGUUGAUGUUUAUUAUUAUCCUCUCUUGCUAAUGUCCAUGACUUUCUGGCAUGAUCUUGAUACUAUUUUAUUAAAUUAUUAGUCAAUAAUAUUAAGGUGGUACGAAACACUUUCACUAAAAUUAGUUUGGCCCGUUUAAUUUUCAUAAAAUUUUGUCAAAGUUUUGACCAACCGUUUUGUUAGAAAAAUUACACUGGUUAUAUAGCAGUGCAACAAACACCUAUUUUGAUCAUUGAGGAGCUUAAUAUUGCCUCCACAAUGCAAUGUAAUUAAAACGUUUAGCUGAUUUUACAGAGUUAUCUCCCUGUAGUGUUAGGUACCACCUUAAAUAUGAAAAAGACAACAAGACUGGGAUAACUUAGGACAUAGAGAUUCUGCUAUAAUCUCUGAAGCUAUUGGUGUUGUAGAUUUUCUGUCUUGCAAUCUUUCUGAAUGAAUUUUCUUACCCCUGAUACUUCUUAAAAAAGAUAAAAAGAAUGCCACAAAUAUCACAUGUAACAAAGUGGCAUUUAUAACAUCUAAUCAGUAUGAGUUGCUAAUAAAACUGCAUUUGCACCCUUCAAAUGCCAAUACACCUUAUCGCUAAUUCUGACUGACCCGGCCGCUUGAACUUUUGAUGUCAUACACAAUCACUUUUCUAUUGUGGCGUCAGAUAUGUUGUUUUAUGACGUCAAAAUUUUACGGGAACCUGUGUGAUAUCUAGUAAUGGCGGGAAAAUAGCAGUAAGGUGUAUUGACAGCAGCAAAUCUUUAAAUAUAGUACUAUUAUUCCUCAAAUUUCAGUCUGAAGCAUUGAUUAACAACAGGAUGAGAAGUGUAUCGCAUUAAACUGAACAUUAUUUUUCAAAACAAACCAUUUUAUUUGAAAUCUAUGAUUGAAGAAGCUUUCUGUGAAUCCUGAAAAUUGAUAUCAACAACAUCAGUUACUUUUCCUGUCUCUUGGGGUUGUUUGAUACAUACAUAUCAUCACACCUUCAGAGGUAUAUGUUUGAUCUAAUGUUUAAAUAUGAGGUAUAUAAGAUAAUUACAUGACACAUAUAUUUGUUUUAAACAUAUCAUUCAAAGGGGCAUACUUUAUAACGAUUUGUAAAUAGCAUUCCUAUUGUAAGAUUUUGACCAUGUAUAAAUCAUUUCCGGAAGUUGAAAUAUUCAUGUUUAUUAAUAAUUAUCAUUGAAUAUAAGUGCCAUUUUAAAUGUGUGUAUGAAUUCAUUUUUGAGCUAUAUUUUAGACUUUCCAUACAGGUUAAUUCUAACCCAGUUGACAUGGUUUAUUUUGGACAAUUUAAAAAAGAUAUAACGAUAUCUUUCCAUCCUAAAUAGAUCCUGAUCUGUAAGAUUUAAAAUUUCAAUUUUUAUGCCAAAUUUUUUUUACUCCAAAUAAAAGCACACAUGAAUAUCUGAAUUUACAGUUCUUGUUGCAUGUUUUUUUUGGGUCAGAUUUUUAAUACGAUAUAAGUUUGUAUACGAUAUAAGAAUUGUGAUUGAACAGGUUAUACACAAUGUGAAAGAUUAAUGAUCAUGUUUGUAAAAGCUUACCGGUAUAUAUUUUGUGAUUGUGUUGUGUAAUUUAAGCUGUAUAAAACACAUUUUUUUAAAGAAUUUUUAUACUGAUAAAGUGCUAUGCAAUUUGUACAUUAAGAUGAUCUAUGCAUUAGCUGUUGUUAAACAGAAUAACUGCUCAUAUUUUCAUGGUAAUAAAUU
This 1760-nucleotide long non-coding RNA is filed under the name Mytilus galloprovincialis (Mediterranean mussel). Lineage: Eukaryota; Metazoa; Mollusca; Bivalvia; Mytilida; Mytilidae. The record is from RNAcentral.